RNAcentral lists this ribosomal RNA (321 nucleotides) under uncultured Teretomonas. RNAcentral's name for it is "SSU rRNA". The stretch from base 104 to 321 matches the Rfam family "Eukaryotic small subunit ribosomal RNA", at positions 735 to 955 of the family's 1831-position model. Lineage: Eukaryota; Cercozoa; Glissomonadida. The record is from RNAcentral.
GAUUUCUGGUAUAGUGCGCUUGGCCCGCCACGGUUUCGUGUGUGAGUGCCGAUGCGUGCUUACCAUCUUUCUGGAGAACGUUCCUGCCCUUUACUGGGUUGGGUUCGCAAUCCAGAACUUUUACUUUGAAAAAAUUAGAGUGUUUAAAGCAGGCGUGAGCUAUGAAUACAUUAGCAUGGAAUGAUCAGGUAGGACUUGAGUUUUAUUUUGUUGGUUCCAGAACUUAAGUAAUGAUUGAUAGGGAUUGUUGGGGGUGCCAGUAUUCAGCGGCCAGAGGUGAAAUUCUUGGAUUCGCUGAAGACUAACUUAAGCGAAAGCAUU